Molecule: ribosomal RNA, 304 nt
Filed under: Escherichia coli
Lineage: Bacteria; Pseudomonadati; Pseudomonadota; Gammaproteobacteria; Enterobacterales; Enterobacteriaceae
Description: partial 16S ribosomal RNA
Rfam family: Bacterial small subunit ribosomal RNA
Source: RNAcentral
UUAAAUUGAAGAGUUUGAUCAUGGCUCAGAUUGAACGCUGGCGGCAGGCCUAACACAUGCAAGUCGAACGGUAACAGGAAACAGCUUGCUGUUUCGCUGACGAGUGGCGGACGGGUGAGUAAUGUCUGGGAAACUGCCUGAUGGAGGGGGAUAACUACUGGAAACGGUAGCUAAUACCGCAUAACGUCGCAAGACCAAAGAGGGGGACCUUCGGGCCUCUUGCCAUCGGAUGUGCCCAGAUGGGAUUAGCUAGUAGGUGGGGUAACGGCUCACCUAGGCGACGAUCCCUAGCUGGUCUGAGAGG